RNA transcript from Lolium perenne, 1011 nucleotides. It is a transcript of the gene named nuclear pore complex protein NUP1, with no coding region annotated. The record is from RefSeq and is a predicted model, not a curated record. Lineage: Eukaryota; Viridiplantae; Streptophyta; Magnoliopsida; Poales; Poaceae.
GUAUCGGUGUCCAUGCAGAACCUGUAUACUGAUAAUCCUGAAAACUCUGUCAAAGAUGGAGAUGUCAUGCUAAGAAGUUCUGAUUGCCAUCGUGGUAUUGAACUUGAAGAAUUAUUGAAACAGACGACGUCUACAAGGCAAGUAUUGGAUAAUCUAACUUAUCAUUUGAGCACUAUCAACAUGGUACUUACCUCAAUAUUUUGUGAGCUUUUCAAUCAUUCAAUAUUCUGCAAGCUAAGGAAUAAGGAUACAAUAUGUGGGAACCUCACAGCACCACCUUGGCCAUAUGAUCAACAGAUCAAGAAUGUUUCUGCCAACAUGCUACAAAGAACUGUGGAUUAUCCUUGUCUGAUUCUUUUGAUAUUUUGUUGAGAUUUAAUGGAAUCAGUGAUAAAAUGCUUAUAUUUUUCAUUUUGGUGACAAAUGACUGUAUUUCGGUACGAGUGACUCGGAACCAAGAUGUGGAAGGUUCUCUGUUAUUUGCUUGAAGGACAAUUGCAAUUUUUGACAGGAGUGAGUUUGAAUAUUUGGCUGGGUUGUUGCGAUCCAGAACUGUUGGAUACAAUAAAUCGCAGGCAGAAGUUGGUAAUAUAAAGCAAACAGAGUCCAGCGAGAAGGAAAAUGGAUCUAGAGGCUUACCUGUUAAUUUCUCCAUUAGAUCAUACAGUGUUGCUGAUCAAGUUGCUUCACCUGCAGAACUUGCAAAGGCAUAUAUGGGUUCAAGACGUCCAGAGGGGUCACCCUUGCGCCUUAGAUUGCAUGACCCCUCUUUUCUACCCAAUAAACCAGUAGAAGCAAUCACAGUAGAUAAAUCUCUGAACCCCACACUUCUCCAAAGUUCAAGAUUGUUUGCUUCCACGUCCUUUUAUCAUCUUGGAAGCAAAUAUAUGACUCCAAAUAAAUCAGCAAUACACAAAAUGUCAUUGUCUACUUACUUCAAGGUUUUUAUUUCUCAUUUACUCUUUUAGUAUAUUGCUCAUGCAUGCUCAUGGUAUGCUCAAGAGUACACCC